This 460-nucleotide long non-coding RNA is filed under the name Vitis vinifera (wine grape). RNAcentral describes it as "long non-coding RNA (VVIN_LNC006383)". The record is from RNAcentral. Lineage: Eukaryota; Viridiplantae; Streptophyta; Magnoliopsida; Vitales; Vitaceae.
UGCAAUCCCAUGUUGGACUCCUUGGAGUUGAUACUGAAGAGAACACCCUCAUGUCUGAUCUCACUCUUCAAUAUCAAGCUUAUCUAGCUUCUGCUGUACAGAUCCCCACAUGGGCUUCAUCCUAAUUGAAGAGUAGGCACGGGGGGAGGGGGGUAUGGUGGCAGAAGAUACUAAAGAAUCAGAAUUUCAUCCAUGUGUCACUAUUUUAUCAGGAUGGUAGAAUUAGAUGCCUCACCCUCUAAUGCAUUAAGGAGGAGCCAGACCUACAAUUGUAUGAAAGCAACUAUUUAUCUGAUUGGCACAGUCUCAGUAUCCUUCAGGAAGAUAUCAACAAGUUCAGAGCCAUUUGACAGCUUUUCCUUCUUGCAAACCUUAGAAACUGCCAAACUCCAUGCAUCUCCAUCAAUAACAUUUCCUUUUACCAAGCUAUUCAAAACUUUGCACAACAACUCCAAGUUCC